UGUGUGUGUGUGUUUGUGUUUGAGAAAUGGUCUUUCCUCCAUGCAUUUGUCACGUGUGUGUGUGUGUGUGUGUGUGUGUGUGUGUGUUUGGUGCGUGUGUGUGUGUGUGUGCUACGUGUUUGUGCAUGUGUUAGGUAUGUGUGUGUGUGUGUGUGUGUGUGUGUGUGUGUGUGUGUGUGUGUGUGUGUGUGUGUG
This is a long non-coding RNA of Gadus macrocephalus (Pacific cod), 195 nucleotides long. RefSeq lists it as uncharacterized. Lineage: Eukaryota; Metazoa; Chordata; Actinopteri; Gadiformes; Gadidae. The record is from RefSeq and is a predicted model, not a curated record. The transcript is spliced from 2 exons.